Molecule: transfer RNA, 77 nt
Filed under: Bacteroidales bacterium
Lineage: Bacteria; Pseudomonadati; Bacteroidota; Bacteroidia; Bacteroidales
Description: tRNA-Asn
Rfam family: tRNA
About the family: Transfer RNA (tRNA) molecules are approximately 80 nucleotides in length. Their secondary structure includes four short double-helical elements and three loops (D, anti-codon, and T loops). Further hydrogen bonds mediate the characteristic L-shaped molecular structure. tRNAs have two regions of fundamental functional importance: the anti-codon, which is responsible for specific mRNA codon recognition, and the 3' end, to which the tRNAs corresponding amino acid is attached (by aminoacyl-tRNA synthetases). tRNAs cope with the degeneracy of the genetic code in two manners: having more than one tRNA (with a specific anti-codon) for a particular amino acid; and 'wobble' base-pairing, i.e. permitting non-standard base-pairing at the 3rd anti-codon position.
Source: RNAcentral
UCUCCAAAAGCUCAGUUGGUUAGAGCAUCUGACUGUUAAUCAGAGGGUCCCUGGUUCAAGUCCAGGUUGGAGAGCCA